UAAAACUAAUCGUUCAUUCAUUCUUGAACAUAAAACAAAAAAAAAAAGGAAAAAAAACUCUCCUAAUUCCUCUCCAUUUGACUGACCGUCUGCCUCACACCAUUCCACCAUCAUAAUCGGUUUCUGGUGAUGAAAGAAGGCUUCGUUUAAACCCACUUAAAACCAAACCCGAAGGUCUCAGUAUUCAGUCCCAAAAUCCCCUAUUUGCUUCGAUUUCAGCGAAGAAGAAGGGUUCCAAAAGCACAAUUAAAAGGUAAUCACCCCCAUUUCCCUUUUUAUUUUCGAAACUUCAAAGCAAAAUAAAAGAAAAGAUAGAAAAGAAGUCGAAAAGGAUAAAAGAUGCAACCUUUUUUAUUGAUUUUUCUUUUGUAUUCAAAAUUCGGAGCGAUUUUUGUGUUUGUCUCUUUUUCAAUAUUGUAAAAUCCCCCCUCACAAUCGUUUGUUUUAGUGGCUUUAUAGCCGAAUACAAAGAGUUAUUUUUUUGUCCAUAUCUGCUACUGUUUGGUUCUGCUUUGCGUGUUGUUGUUGUUCUGUCUCUAUUUGCUGUCUUUGUUUGCGUGAUUGCAGGAGCUAGGCUCGGUCAACGGCGGAGGAUGCGCUGACAUCUCACGUGGGGGGGCAAACGGCAUCUCUGGAGAGGAAGCUGCUAGGGUUUCUAACUUUGGCUGAAAAUGUUUAAUUUUUGGGCCAACUUUGGGUCAUUGUAAUUAGGCUGCUGUUUGGGUUUAAAUAGGUUUAGGGUUAUUUAAUUUUGGUUUUGUAAAAAUGGAUUGUUUAUUAUCUUUAUUUUGGUUUCUGGUUUAUGAGCCCCGGGUAAAUUUGGGCCCUUACAAGUAGGAUGUUUUUCUAUUUGAAAUAAAUCACUACAACUCAACAAGGGUUCUGGCACUAGUAGAGCUAUUAACACAAUUUUGAAAGAUUGUUAUUCUGCCGAAAAAUAGAGAGA
This 946-nucleotide long non-coding RNA is filed under the name Gossypium barbadense (sea-island cotton). RNAcentral's name for it is "long non-coding RNA (GBAR_LNC001920)". Lineage: Eukaryota; Viridiplantae; Streptophyta; Magnoliopsida; Malvales; Malvaceae. The record is from RNAcentral.